Molecule: long non-coding RNA, 1031 nt
Organism: Suricata suricatta (meerkat)
Lineage: Eukaryota; Metazoa; Chordata; Mammalia; Carnivora; Herpestidae
Exons: 2
Source: RefSeq, a predicted model, not a curated record
GGGGGAAGGGAAAAGACCGAGCAGUGGAGGGAGGAGGGAGCCAUUUCUCUCCACUGGCUGCAACCUCCGUGCUCACAGCUCACGUUUGCCCGGAAUCCAGAGGCCUCCUCGGCCAAGGACUCCAUAAUGCUGGAUAUUUUCAUCCUGAUGUUCUUUGCCAUUAUAGGCCUGGUCAUUCUGUCCUACAUUAUCUAUCUGCUCUAGUGGCCUGCGGCUGCGGCGGGGAGCCCUCAGGACAGCUCGGGGGGGAAGGAUGGAGCUGACUGGCCGAGCCUCCUGCUUUGCUGACGCACCGGUGGAAUUUUGCUUCUGGUCGUUAUUUCGGCUCCUGGUCUCCAGUCCAACAAGAGACCUCUUAGCAGCAGUCCUGCUGCCCAGCAGACCUCUUCCAGAGCCUUCCGGAAAAGGCUAGCCACUGUGGAGCAAGGGGCUUUUUGAGCCCCGAGGCAGAGGCGCUCAGCAGGGACAUCAGGAAUUCGUGGGCAAGGCUGGCAGAUGCUGCGUGCGUUUGAGCUGUAGAUAGAAGGUGUUGAGGACACAGAGCUGAAAUGUAGACUCAAUAAAGUUACCAUGGAGAAUGGCUCACAAAUCCAUUUUGAUAGCCUUUCUUUAGGUGUAAAUGCAACUGUAUAUUAUGCUAAAAUAUGUUUUCUUUCCCUCUCACGCUCGGGGCGGGGCGGGGGUGGGGCGGCCUGUAAAUUCUAAAGCACAUUGUCUAUCUUCCUCUGAAGUCCUCACUUUAUCACUCUUUACAGACUGCAUAGCCUGAGGGCGUACGGUAUCUCUAAUCUCACUCUUUAGCCAGAAGGAACUUGUCAUUUGAGUUUUUAAGAUUUAUCACAUUUCUGCCACUCCCUACCACUUGAGCUCCAGCUUCUCAUUUAAAGAGAGAAAUGGUUAUAUAGUCCUCAUUCUUUGAGACUGUCUGAAUGAUAAAUUAUUGGAAUAGGGUAGCCAUAACUCAUCUUUCUUGUUAUGUGGGAAAAAUCUCUCUCUUACCCCAAAAUAAAUGGUUUUUUUAUAUUGUCAAA